UAGCAGUGAUGCAGUUAACACAUUAAGUGUGCCGCCUGGGGAGUACGGUCGCAAGAUUAAAACUCAAAGGAAUAGACGGGGACCCGCACAAGCGGUGGAGCAUGUGGUUUAAUUCGACGAUACGCGAAGAACCUUACCUGGACUUGACAUAGUAAGAAGAUUUAAGAGAUUAGAUCGUGUCUGCUUGCAGAAACUUAUAUACAGGUGCUGCACGGCUGUCGUCAGCUCGUGUCGUGAGAUGUUGGGUUAAGUCCCGCAACGAGCGCAACCCUCGUCCUUAGUUGCUAACAGUUCGGCUGAGAACUCUAAGGAGACUGCCUGGGUAACCAGGAGGAAGGUGAGGACGACGUCAAGUCAUCAUGGCCCUUACGUCCAGGGCUACACACGUGCUACAAUGGGGCAUACAAAGAGCCGCGAUACCGUGAGGUGGAGCAAAUCUCAAAAAUGCCUCCCAGUUCGGAUAGCACUCUGCAACUCGAGUGCUUGAAGUUGGAAUCGCUAGUAAUCGUAGAUCAGCAAUGCUACGGUGAAUACGUUCCCGGGUCUUGUACUCACCGCCCGUCACACCAUGGGAAUUGAACUCAUUCGAAGCGGGAAUGCUAAAGUAGCUACCCUCCACAGUGGAUUCAGUAACUGGGGUGAAGUCGUAACAAGGUAGCCG
Molecule: ribosomal RNA, 661 nt
Filed under: uncultured bacterium
Lineage: Bacteria
Description: bacterial SSU rRNA
Rfam family: Bacterial small subunit ribosomal RNA
Source: RNAcentral